This is a non-coding RNA of Syngnathoides biaculeatus (alligator pipefish), 73 nucleotides long. NCBI's taxonomy places the organism in Eukaryota, Metazoa, Chordata, Actinopteri, Syngnathiformes, Syngnathidae. The record is from the annotation of a RefSeq genome assembly.
GGCCUUGUAGUUCAGUGGUGAGAGCACUGGUCUUGUAAACCACGAGUCGUGAGUUCAAUUCCCACCUGGGCCU